This 253-nucleotide ribosomal RNA is filed under the name uncultured bacterium. Its description in RNAcentral is "partial 16S ribosomal RNA". It matches the Rfam family "Bacterial small subunit ribosomal RNA", at positions 524 to 776 of the family's 1533-position model. The record is from RNAcentral.
UACGUAGGGAGCAAGCGUUGUUCGGAUUUACUGGGCGUAAAGGGCGCGUAGGCGGCAUAUUAAGUCAUCUGUGAAAUCUCCGAGCUUAACUCGGAACUGUCAGCUGAUACUGAUGUGCUAGAGUGCGGAAGGGGCAAUCGGAAUUCUUGGUGUAGCGGUGAAAUGCGUAGAUAUCAAGAGGAACACCUGAGGUGAAGACGGGUUGCUGGGCUGACACUGACGCUGAAGCGCGAAAGCUAGGGGAGCAAACGGG